RNAcentral lists this unclassified non-coding RNA (429 nucleotides) under fungal sp. RNAcentral's name for it is "partial internal transcribed spacer region". The stretch from base 1 to 46 matches the Rfam family "Eukaryotic small subunit ribosomal RNA", at positions 1786 to 1831 of the family's 1831-position model. Lineage: Eukaryota; Fungi. RNAcentral also lists the same sequence under 1 other name. The record is from RNAcentral.
AAGUCGUAACAAGGUUUCCGUAGGUGAACCUGCGGAAGGAUCAUUAUCAUCCUUUUUUUUUUGGUUAUUGGCAACAGUAACCAAAAAAAUAUAAACCAAUCGUGAACCGUACUGCCUCCAAUGAAGACUUUUUCUGCAAACGUGUCAUUUUUUCUUUGGUACGCCCAAGGAAAGAGAGCACAAUUGUAGAAAAAUAUUGAGCAACAUGAUGGGAAAACUAACAUUUUUUCCGUUCAUGACACCUCUCUUCAUUGGUUGUAUUUCUUUUAUUUUUUUACCAUUUGAACAACUCACUUCAAAAAACAAUUGAACUGAAUUGUUCUCAAUUGCUGUUUUUUCGGCUCAUCAGCCAAAAAAACCCAUUGAGAAUUACAAAUGUAUAAAAAGAAAAACAAAAAACAACUCUUAGCAACGGAUAUCUUGGUUCUC